This 486-nucleotide ribosomal RNA is filed under the name uncultured bacterium. RNAcentral's name for it is "bacterial SSU rRNA". It matches the Rfam family "Bacterial small subunit ribosomal RNA", at positions 340 to 842 of the family's 1533-position model. The record is from RNAcentral.
UACGGGAGGCAGCAGUGGGGAAUAUUGCACAAUGGGGGAAACCCUGAUGCAGCAACGCCGCGUGAGUGAUGAAGGCCUUCGGGUUGUAAAGCUCUGUCUUCAGGGACGAUAAUGACGGUACCUGAGGAGGAAGCCACGGCUAACUACGUGCCAGCAGCCGCGGUAAUACGUAGGUGGCAAGCGUUGUCCGGAUUUACUGGGCGUAAAGGGAGCGUAGGCGGAUACUUAAGUGGGAUGUGAAAUACCUGGGCUUAACUUGGGUGCUGCAUUCCAAACUGGGUGUCUAGAGUGUUGGAGAGGAAAGUGGAAUUCCUAGUGUAGCGGUGAAAUGCGUAGAGAUUAGGAAGAACACCAGUGGCGAAGGCGACUUUCUGGACAAUAACUGACGCUGAGGCUCGAAAGCGUGGGGAGCAAACAGGAUUAGAUACCCUGGUAGUCCACGCCGUAAACGAUGGGUACUAGGUGUAGGGGGCAUCGACUCCCCCC